ACCCCCCAGGGAAGGGCAUGGCAUGACAUGACGGGGCCCUCUGUAGUUGCACUGCCAUCAUUAGUUUGCGUAUCGUACGUACCGCGGUCGAGAGUGACAAGUGUCAACGGCCUAAACAAAUAACCUUUGACUAUUGGCACAGCGUAGCCAGAAUGAAAUUCUUUUCCGCACAAGUGAACACCCCAGUCUUGUACUUUCCGUGAAAAAACAAAAAUAAGCCGUGUGAAACUGAACAAACAACCUGCAGGCCUGUAGCAGGUGUGAUCGGGGCACCAUGAUGGGGCCCCAAGCCCACAUAUAAGUCUUCAACCAAAGUUGGGAGGCUCUGAUCAGAAGGACGCUAGCACCUGCAAAGCACUGUGAAGAAGAAAGAAGCAGCCAUGGCCCAACUUCAGUGUUUCCUGCUCGUUCUGGCAGUCAUCUUCUGCCUCCUGAGUACCACUUCUGCGGCAGCGGUGCACAGCUGGCUUGACAUAUUGCUGGGCUGCGUGUCGUCGGAGGACUUCUGGGCCUGCAUGAAGGCAACUGGUGCUCUUCCAGGAAAAUAAAGGGUUCAGUAAAAAAUAAAGGGUUCAGUAAACAAAAA
Molecule: long non-coding RNA, 586 nt
Organism: Frankliniella occidentalis (western flower thrips)
Lineage: Eukaryota; Metazoa; Arthropoda; Insecta; Thysanoptera; Thripidae
Exons: 2
Source: RefSeq, a predicted model, not a curated record